GACGAACGCUGGCGGCGUGCUUAACACAUGCAAGUCGAGCGGUAAGGCCCUUUCGGGGGUACACGAGCGGCGAACGGGUGAGUAACACGUGGGUGACCUGCCCUCAGCUCUGGGAUAAGCCUGGGAAACUGGGUCUAAUACUGGAUAUGACUCCACGGUGCAUGUCGUGGGGUGGAAAGCCUUGUGCGGCUGAGGAUGGGCCCGCGGCCUAUCAGCUUGUUGGUGGGGUGAUGGCCUACCAAGGCGACGACGGGUAGCCGGCCUGAGAGGGCGACCGGCCACACUGGGACUGAGACACGGCCCAGACUCCUACGGGAGGCAGCAGUGGGGAAUCUUGCGCAAUGGGCGAAAGCCUGACGCAGCAACGCCGCGU
RNAcentral lists this ribosomal RNA (373 nucleotides) under uncultured bacterium. RNAcentral describes it as "bacterial SSU rRNA". It matches the Rfam family "Bacterial small subunit ribosomal RNA", at positions 28 to 402 of the family's 1533-position model. The record is from RNAcentral.